Molecule: non-coding RNA, 27 nt
Filed under: Mus musculus (house mouse)
Lineage: Eukaryota; Metazoa; Chordata; Mammalia; Rodentia; Muridae
Source: RNAcentral
UUUUUUAUUUCAGCUGGAUGUACACUC